This is a non-coding RNA of Kogia breviceps (pygmy sperm whale), 1516 nucleotides long. The record is from RefSeq and is a predicted model, not a curated record. NCBI's taxonomy places the organism in Eukaryota, Metazoa, Chordata, Mammalia, Artiodactyla, Physeteridae.
CUCCGGCCCUCAGAAGCGGCGAGACGCACAGGCGCUCCGCAACCCUGCGCGGCGAUUGGCCAGAGAGCCAGGGGGCGGGGUAGGGGCGGGAAUCGGCUCUUGGGUGGCGGUCUUGGACACGUCGAGAGGGUCAGAAGUGGAGGGGGCUUCUGAAGAGUCCUGGGGGUGUGACAGAAUAAGGUUCUGAGAAGGAGGCGCCGGUGGCUGGACUCGAUCUGGGAAGUUUGCCUCUGCUGUUAAUUCUUCUUUUUGCCUUCCUCACCAGACAUGCUACAAAAGAGAAAAAGAUGACAUAGUUAUCACUGAAAAAUGGCCUAUUCAGGAUCUCUAACUGAACUCCCAUUCUCAGAAAUGCUGGAGUUGCUGGUUAGGGACAGGCCCUGGAGUGCUCAGUUGGGAACAAAUCUUAACUUCAUUAAUCAUGUUGGGAACUAUAUACAGCAUUUUCUUCACACAGAAGGUUUUUUGUUGUCUUAUUAGUCAGCAAUAAAGUCUGUUUUUCUGAUAGUUCAAUUCCUGUAUUUCACAACUAAUCUAGAAAAAUAGAACUGUAGAAGAUAUAUAACUUCCCCUUCAUCUGGAACUCAGAUUUUAUUCAUACAGUGGGUGAAAGAAACCUCUCUCAAAUCCCAAACACGAGCCAUUUGGUAUUAAAUUUAGUGUUGGCCCAGAAAGGUCUUUGUUUAGUAGGUGGUGGUGUGUGUAAAUUCUAAGUGAGACUGGGCAAGCUUUGUGCCCUUUUGGAAUAUCAGAAUAAACAUGUUUUAUUUUAGUUCCUGGUUGAAUCUUGACUUUCUUUCUUUUCUUUUUUUUUUUUUAAGCGUCCUCUUCUUAAACAUACAGUCCUUAGAGCCUGUGUACUAUAUCUAUGUCGUACAUCUCUGUAAUUCAGAACUUUGGUUCUCAAAUUUUAGAGUGCGUAAGAAUUGCCUAUAUAUCUGGAUAUAUACGUAGAGUCUGAGACUCCAUUCCCUGAGAGGAGAUUCAGUAGUCUGGAGUGGGGUCCGUAAUUUUCAUUUUUAGCCAAACAUCUCAAAUAAUUCUGAUUCAGGCAGUCCUUGGACCAUACUUUGAGAAACCCUUGAGUUAGGAUUUACUAUGUGUGUUAUUAAUGUACCAGUCGUUUUCAUAUGUAUUUUUACAUCUGAUGUUCAAAAAAAUUGUGAGAUUUUAUUAACCCAGGUUUAUGUGUAUGUAUUAUCCCCACAAAGUUUUAGUAACUUGUUCUGAGCUCCAAAGAUGGCAUUGCAUUAUGACAGUCAGCAGUCUGACUCCAAGAACCAGGAGGGCCGUUGCUCUUAGUAUUUCUGCUUUUAGGUAUUUCUCAGAAGAGAUGAUUGUAUAAGAUUGGUGAAUUGGAAAAUAUUGGAAAGUGAUAUGAACAGUCUGUUAAGUUAAAGCCACUGAAAUGUUGGAAUGUCUAAAGCAUAUCAUCUAAUAUUCAGAAUGUUCCUAGAAAAGACAAGUAUGCAUUUGUUCUUCUUUGAAACGAUAUUAUACACACCUAAAUUUUUCU